GCGGGGAUGGCGGAAUUGGUAGACGCGCUAGCUUGAGGUGCUAGUGGUGAAAGCCGUGGCCGUUCAAGUCGGCUUCUCCGCA
RNAcentral lists this transfer RNA (82 nucleotides) under Treponema sp. RNAcentral describes it as "tRNA-Leu". Lineage: Bacteria; Pseudomonadati; Spirochaetota; Spirochaetia; Treponematales; Treponemataceae. RNAcentral also lists the same sequence under 2 other names. The record is from RNAcentral.